Molecule: ribosomal RNA, 722 nt
Filed under: uncultured bacterium
Lineage: Bacteria
Description: bacterial SSU rRNA
Rfam family: Bacterial small subunit ribosomal RNA
Source: RNAcentral
GAGUUUGAUCCUGGCUCAGGAUGAACGCUAGCGGCAGGCUUAACACAUGCAAGUCGAGGGGUAGGUUACUUCGGUAAUUGAGACCGGCGCACGGGUGCGUAACGCGUAUACAAUCUACCUUUUACAGAGGGAUAGCCCAGGGAAAUUUGGAUUAAUACCUCAUAGUAUUUUUGAAUGGCAUCAUUUGAUUAUUAAAGUUCCAACGGUAAAAGAUGAGUAUGCGUCCCAUUAGCUAGAUGGUAAGGUAACGGCUUACCAUGGCAACGAUGGGUAGGGGUCCUGAGAGGGAGAUCCCCCACACUGGUACUGAGACACGGACCAGACUCCUACGGGAGGCAGCAGUGAGGAAUAUUGGACAAUGGGCGCAAGCCUGAUCCAGCCAUGCCGCGUGCAGGAAGAAGGUCCUAUGGAUUGUAAACUGCUUUUAUACAGGAAGAAACAACAUUACGUGUAAUGUCUUGACGGUACUGUAUGAAUAAGGACCGGCUAACUCCGUGCCAGCAGCCGCGGUAAUACGGAGGGUCCAAGCGUUAUCCGGAAUCAUUGGGUUUAAAGGGUCCGUAGGCGGCCAAAUAAGUCAGUGGUGAAAGCCCAUCGCUCAACGAUGGAACGGCCAUUGAUACUGUUUGGCUUGAUUAUUAGGAAGUACUAGAUAUGUAGUGUAGCGGUGAAUGCUAGAGAUACAUGGAUACCAUUGCGAAGGCAGUACACUAUAUAUGACC